GAGAUGGCUUAGUGCUCGAAAGAGAACCGUAACACAGGUGCUGCAUGGCUGUCGUCAGCUCGUGUCGUGAGAUGUUGGGUUAAGUCCCGCAACGAGCGCAACCCUUGUCAUUAGUUGCUACAUUUAGUUGGGCACUCUAAUGAGACUGCCGGUGACAAACCGGAGGAAGGUGGGGAUGACGUCAAGUCCUCAUGGCCCUUAUAGGUAGGGCUACACACGUCAUACAAUGGAUGGUACAAAGGGUCGCCAACCCGCGAGGGGGAGCCAAUCCCAUAAAACCAUUCGUAGUCCGGAUCGCAGUCUGCAACUCGACUGCGUGAAGUCGGAAUCGCUAGUAAUCGUGGAUCAGAAUGUCACGGUGAAUACGUUCCCGGGUCUU
This 379-nucleotide ribosomal RNA is filed under the name uncultured Polaromonas sp. RNAcentral describes it as "bacterial SSU rRNA". It matches the Rfam family "Bacterial small subunit ribosomal RNA", at positions 1003 to 1382 of the family's 1533-position model. Lineage: Bacteria; Pseudomonadati; Pseudomonadota; Betaproteobacteria; Burkholderiales; Comamonadaceae. The record is from RNAcentral.